Molecule: long non-coding RNA, 487 nt
Filed under: Homo sapiens (human)
Lineage: Eukaryota; Metazoa; Chordata; Mammalia; Primates; Hominidae
Description: HSALNT0208249
Source: RNAcentral
CAGUGGCCCAGUCUCAGAUGCCGAUUGGCUUGCGAGAGUCGAAGGGGUGACACUCGUUUCGUGACAGGUGAACCUUGCCCCCGAAAGGACUGCCGGGCUUCAAACUUGGGAAACCCGAGGUCACAUGACUAGCCAGUCCUAGGGGGCCGCCAUCUUGAUACUACUGCUUGCCAGCUAGUGAGCUGUUGGCCGGGUGAGGCCCAAAACAGAGCAGCAGUUUCAGGAAACUUGUAUCUCGACCAGGAAGCACCAGUAGAUGGGAUGUUGCUGAAAAUGGAGGUUGUGAAUGAAGCAUUCCAGGAGGGAGCUUACUUUCCCCAUCCAGAUCUGGGGAACUUGCAGCAGAGUCACAGUCGCUUAAAAUUUCACUGCAAAUUACUUCAUCAGCCAUCUCAGCUUCAGUGAUCUGGGAUAACUAAAGUUGAGCACCGAAGACAAGCUCUAAAUGAUUGAAUACCCUGGAAGAAAGGUCUUUUAUACUAAUCUU